Equus caballus (horse) is the source of this 3284-nucleotide long non-coding RNA. The record is from Ensembl. NCBI's taxonomy places the organism in Eukaryota, Metazoa, Chordata, Mammalia, Perissodactyla, Equidae.
CGUGAUCAGCGCAGUCAGGAGAGGCUGACAGAUGGAGCCAAGUCCAGAAAGGAUUUAGCAAGGCCCUCUGGUCGGCCAUAAAUAAAGUGCUGGAGCCGGAAGGAGGUGCCACCCCAGAGACAAGGCAGCAACAGAUGGCGGGCCAGCCACCGCUCUCCCCGCAGCAGCUGUCAGCAACCCCGCCGGAGCCCCAGCACUGCGCCUGGCUGGCCAGCAGUUACGCGGUUUACGGAGGAAACCAAGGCACAAAGAGGCUAAGAAACUCGUCCAGGGCUCUCAGCUAAGACAUCCACUGAGCCAGGAUCCGACGCCUGAAGCCCAUGCCUUAGAGCUUCACAACAGUGAACGGUGGCAACAGGGAGCCACUGAAGGCUACGGAGAGCAGGAGUGGCCCGGUCAUUCUGCGUGGGGCUGAGUGACGAAGAGUUGGAGGAUGAGGAUGGAGGUGGAGACCCGGCGCCACACUCUGGGUUCUGCGGUGAUGGCAGCAGAUGGGCGACCCUGAGAUGAGCAGGUCCCCGAGCCUCCUCCGACAGGCGCUUCCCACGCCUUCAUCACAGGUCGGGUGGCCCCUGGGGUCCCCCUGCACCUCCUGCUCUGCCUGUGCUCCCCUCAAAGGUUCAAAGGCAGCCUUCGGAUGCUUGGAAAUGCAGCGAUAUCGGAGGGGUGACUCAGGAUGCCCUGUUUUUGGAAGUCCCCAUCUUCCCUUCGCUGGGGGAGGCUGGCACCAGUCGCUUAGGCGGCCUAUUCUGUUGUUUCCCUGCAGGUGACAUAUCCAAAGGGAGGAGGCGUUUCCCUGGGCGCCCUCAGUCCUGGCCCAAGGCUGCGGGGGCGGGGCACCGACAGGUGGGCAUCCUCCCCAGAAGCCUGCAGCCCCCGCCCUGCUGGGAGAGACCCCGAUGGGUCUGCGAGAAUAGCAAAAUAGGAAAUUCAUAUUAAUUUUCUGUUUAGCCAGGAUCUGGAUCUCAAAUCAGGCCCUGAGCCGAUUCAGAUUGACUGCAGCCUGUCUCCUGGGCCGUCAAUCAACGCCCGGUCCCCGCGGCAGCCCGCCUGGUCUGUGGUGCAGCACAGCUCAGUGCACCCAGACCGGGUGCGAGGGUUUGUAGCAAGACAGGCCAGCGAUGUCGCCUGGGCCCUGCCUCUGCAGGCCAGGCCACCCCGCCCCCCUGGUUUCCACACCAGCCCUCCCCACAAAAUUCUCCAGUUUGAUGUGGGGUGGAUUUUUUCCAGCUUGAUUCAGGUGUAAUUGACAACACUAGGAUACUUAAAGUGCACGUCGUGAUGACCUGAUACACGCGUGCAUCAUGAAAGGAUUCCCCCCACCUGGUUAAUUAGCAGAUCCACCGUCUCACAUAUUUAUCUGUUUUUGUGAGAACGUUUAAGUUCUGUCUCGGCAGAUUUCAGUUGAACAGUACAGAGUUAUCAACCAUCGUCCCCGUGCUCUGCAUCGCCCCUCAGAACUUACUCACCCUACGGCUGGAGCCCGUACCCUCUGACCCACCUCUCCCUGUUUCCCCGCCCCCAGCCCCCCGCACCCAGCUUUCUACUCUUUGCUCCUGUGAGUGACUCUUUUAGAUUUCACAUGUAAGUGACAUCAUGCGGCAUUUGUCUCUCUCAGUCUGGCUUAUCUCACUCAGCGCAAUGCCCUCAAGGUCCGUCCCUGUCGUCACAAAUGACAGGAUGUCCUUUCUCGCGGCUGAAUAAUAUUUGGAUGCGGCUUCUUCCCAUUAACUUUGCUGAACUUUGCCAUCUGCCACCAUUUGUCUGCUAGGGAACCAAGAUAAGACUCACUCGUCCACUCUUCAUGACUUCGCCUGAUCCCGUGGCCCACCCCCCGCCUGGCAUGGCUGACUGCCGCCUCAGCCGGCACUGGGACACCCACAACACUGCGGCCGCACGGCGUGGCCGGCCCCCGGCGCCUUCCAUCCACUCAUGCCUCUGGGAGUCGCUCCCCUCCCCGAGCCUCGUUUUCCUCACCUGCGAGAUGGGAACAACGUGACCUGCCGCAGGGACCUGGCACGUGCCUGCAUCUCAUCUAGGAAGCAUCCAAUUCACACAGCAAGUAUUUAUUUAGCGCCUCCUGCAUUCCAGGCCCUGUCUGAGGGUGGCGGGGGCAGGGGUGGACACCACAGUGAACAAAACGGACCAGUCUCCCUGCCUCCGCGGAGCUGAUGUUCCUGGACACCGGUCCUCAGCGAGGGGCUGUCUUGUUCCCCAGAAGACACCUGGCCGUUUCUGGAGACAGGUUUUGUUGUUUUGGUUUUUUUUGAGGAAGAUUAGCCCUGAGCUAAUUGCUGUCAAUCCUCCUCUUUUUGCUGAGGAAGACUGGCCCUGAGCUAACAUCCGCGCCCAUCUUCUUCUAGUUUAUUUGUGGGACGCCUGCCACAGCAUGGCUUGAUGAGUGGUGCUAGGUCCACGCCCAAGAUACCAAUUGCUGAACCCCAGGCCGCUGAAGUGGAACAUGUGAACUUAACCGCUGUGCCAACAGGCCGGCCCCUGGAGACAGUUUUGGUUUUCAUAACCCUGGUGGUGGGAGUGCUACUGGCAUCUGGAAGAUUAGCCCUGAGCUACCAUCUGCUGCCAACCCUCCUCUUUUUGCUGAGGAAGACUGGCCCUGAGCUAACAUCCGUGCCCAUCUUCCUCUGCUUUAUAUGUGGGACACCUGCCACAGCAUGGUGUGCCGAGUGGUGCCAUGUCCACACCCGGGAUCUGAACCGGAGAACCCUGGGCCGCCAAAGUGAAAUGUGCGAACUUAACCGCUGUGCCACCUGGCCGGCCCCUGACAUUAUUCUUAAAGUCACGAGAUUUUGACCAAGACAAUCACCUACUGAAAUUUACAUUUUAGGGGCCUAGGAGGGCUCUGGCACCCUCUGAGCUCCCACUGUGGGCCGGUCAGGUCCCCACACCAUCUCGGCUGAUCCACACAGCCCCCUCUGAAGGAGAGAUUAUUCUCUUUUCCCAGAUGAGCGGCCUGGGGCAUGAAUGGGCCCCCAGCUGGUCAGGGGCACAGCAGGAAUUCAGACAGAUACCAGACCAGGCUUUUUCAACCUUAUCCUGCUGCUUCCCCCUUCAGCCUGCUGCCUCUCCACGCGUUAGAAGAGAGUGGCACCCCGGGUCUGACCUUGCCAAAAUUGUCCGCUCCUCUAGGAAGGAAGAAAUCUCUACACUGAUCAGCAAAAUGUUUCUGUAAUUCUGGAAACCCAGUGACCAGGUCACUAGCUUUCAGGCUGUCUUGUCUCACAGCUGCUGAGGCUGAUAAGUGACGUUCCAUCUUUUUAGGCUAC